AUGCCUAUUGAAAAAGAAUUAAUAUGCAGGGGUAUUGAUUAUUUGCAAUCACUAUGCUUCAUUUCUGGAGAUUUGUUGGGAUUGCUUCUGAGAAUAAAAUGUUUUCCUCUCUAUUUUGAUUGGUGUUUUUCAAAGCUACUAAAGUAUUGUUAUUCUUUUGAAGGGGGAUGCUACCUCGAAGAGCUUGCUGUCCAGCCUGCGGAGGGACUUUCUCAGCUAUCGCCUGUUGUCGAGGAAGGAAUAGAAGAGUGA
Molecule: non-coding RNA, 252 nt
Organism: Vicia faba (fava bean)
Lineage: Eukaryota; Viridiplantae; Streptophyta; Magnoliopsida; Fabales; Fabaceae
Source: the annotation of a GenBank genome assembly